This 460-nucleotide ribosomal RNA is filed under the name uncultured bacterium. RNAcentral's name for it is "partial 16S ribosomal RNA". It matches the Rfam family "Bacterial small subunit ribosomal RNA", at positions 338 to 795 of the family's 1533-position model. The record is from RNAcentral.
CCUACGGGAGGCAGCAGUGAGGAAUAUUGGUCAAUGGGCUUACGCCUGAACCAGCCAAGUCGCGUGAAGGAUGACUGCCCUAUGGGUUGUAAACUUCUUUUAUAUGGGAAUAAAACGUUCCACGUGUGGGAUUUUGUAUGUACCAUAUGAAUAAGGAUCGGCUAACUCCGUGCCAGCAGCCGCGGUAAUACGGAGGAUCCGAGCGUUAUCCGGAUUUAUUGGGUUUAAAGGGAGCGUAGAUGGGUUGUUAAGUCAGUUGUGAAAGUUUGCGGCUCAACCGUAAAAUUGCAAUUGAUACUGGCAGUCUUGAGUACAGUUGAGGUAGGCGGAAUUCGUGGUGUAGCGGUGAAAUGCUUAGAUAUCACGAAGAACCCCGAUUGCGAAGGCAGCUUACUAAACUGUGACUGACAUUGAUGCUCGAAAGUGUGGGUAUCAAACAGGAUUAGAUACCCUUGUAGUC